This 454-nucleotide ribosomal RNA is filed under the name uncultured Verrucomicrobiota bacterium. RNAcentral's name for it is "bacterial SSU rRNA". It matches the Rfam family "Bacterial small subunit ribosomal RNA", at positions 53 to 500 of the family's 1533-position model. Lineage: Bacteria; Pseudomonadati; Verrucomicrobiota. The record is from RNAcentral.
ACAUGCAAGUCGAACGAGAUCUCUAGCUAGCUUGCUAGCAGGAGUGAAAGUGGCGGACGGGUGCGUAACACGUGAGCAACCUACCCUGGAGUGGGGGACAACUCUCCGAAAGGAGGGCUAAUACCGCAUGUAGAUCUUCGGAUCAAAGGUGGCUUCGGCUACCGCUCCUGGAUGGGCUCGCGGCCUAUCAGCUUGUUGGUGAGGUAACGGCUCACCAAGGCUAUGACGGGUAGCUGGUCUGAGAGGACGAUCAGCCUCACUGGAACUGAGACACGGUCCAGACACCUACGGGUGGCAGCAGUCGAGAAUCAUUCACAAUGGGCGAAAGCCUGAUGGUGCAACGCCGCGUGGAGGAUGACGGCCCUAGGGUUGUAAACUCCUGUCAUCUGGGAGUAAUCCUUGCUCGUUAAUAGCUUGCAAGGUUGAUAGUACCAGAAGAGGAAGCGCCGGCUAA